This 253-nucleotide ribosomal RNA is filed under the name uncultured bacterium. RNAcentral describes it as "partial 16S ribosomal RNA". It matches the Rfam family "Bacterial small subunit ribosomal RNA", at positions 524 to 776 of the family's 1533-position model. The record is from RNAcentral.
UACGUAGGGUGCAAGCGUUGUCCGGAAUUAUUGGGCGUAAAGAGCUCGUAGGCGGUUUGUCGCGUCUGCUGUGAAAAUCCAGGGCUUAACCCUGGACCUGCAGUGGGUACGGGCAGACUGGAGUGCGGUAGGGGAGAUCGGAAUUCCUGGUGUAGCGGUGAAAUGCGCAGAUAUCAGGAGGAACACCAGUGGCGAAGGCGGCACUCUGGGCCGGUACUGACGCUGAGGAGCGAAAGCAUGGGGAGCGAACAGG